Molecule: small nucleolar RNA, 150 nt
Filed under: Cervus hanglu yarkandensis (Yarkand deer)
Lineage: Eukaryota; Metazoa; Chordata; Mammalia; Artiodactyla; Cervidae
Source: RNAcentral
ACUGCACAUUGUUAGAGCUUGGAGUUGAGGCUGCUGGACCAUGGACUCACAAGUGUAGGUAGUGUGCUACACGAGGGGCAAGUGUUUCGCUAACACCACAAGGGUCUCUGGCCCAAUGAGUGGAGUUGGAUAGUAAUACUUGCUACAAAA